AAGGUAGCAUAAUAAAUUGGCUUUUAAUUGAAGUCUAGAAUGAAUGGAUAAAUGAAUAUAUUCUGUCUUAUUUGAUUAUUUUAAAGUUGCUUAUUAGGUGAAAAUACCUAAUUUAUAAAAUAGACGAGAAGACCCUAGGAGUUUUUUUGUUGGGGCGACAGUAUAGCAUAUAACCUAUAUAUUAAGACAUUAAAACAAUUAUUUUUAUUAAAAAUAAACUACCCUAGGGAUAACAGCAUAAAGUUUGUGACCUCGAUGUUGGACUAGGGAUUUUAAUAUUAACUAUAUUAUAAGAUUUGUUCUGUUCGAACAUUAAUACCU
RNAcentral lists this ribosomal RNA (321 nucleotides) under Phuphania crossei. RNAcentral's name for it is "partial large subunit ribosomal RNA". Lineage: Eukaryota; Metazoa; Mollusca; Gastropoda; Stylommatophora; Dyakiidae. The record is from RNAcentral.